Molecule: ribosomal RNA, 1305 nt
Filed under: Salmonella enterica subsp. enterica serovar Abony
Lineage: Bacteria; Pseudomonadati; Pseudomonadota; Gammaproteobacteria; Enterobacterales; Enterobacteriaceae
Description: partial 23S ribosomal RNA
Rfam family: Bacterial large subunit ribosomal RNA
Source: RNAcentral
UAACUGAAUCCAUAGGUUAAUGAGGCGAACCGGGGGAACUGAAACAUCUAAGUACCCCGAGGAAAAGAAAUCAACCGAGAUUCCCCCAGUAGCGGCGAGCGAACGGGGAGGAGCCCAGAGCCUGAAUCAGCAUGUGUGUUAGUGGAAGCGUCUGGAAAGGCGCGCGAUACAGGGUGACAGCCCCGUACACAAAAGCGCAUGUGCUGUGAGCUCGAUGAGUAGGGCGGGACACGUGGUAUCCUGUCUGAAUAUGGGGGGACCAUCCUCCAAGGCUAAAUACUCCUGACUGACCGAUAGUGAACCAGUACCGUGAGGGAAAGGCGAAAAGAACCCCGGCGAGGGGAGUGAAAAAGAACCUGAAACCGUGUACGUACAAGCAGUGGGAGCACCCUUUGGGGUGUGACUGCGUACCUUUUGUAUAAUGGGUCAGCGACUUAUAUUCUGUAGCAAGGUUAACCGUAUAGGGGAGCCGGAGGGAAACCGAGUCUUAAUUGGGCGUUAAGUUGCAGGGUAUAGACCCGAAACCCGGUGAUCUAGCCAUGGGCAGGUUGAAGGUUGGGUAACACUAACUGGAGGACCGAACCGACUAAUGUUGAAAAAUUAGCGGAUGACCUGUGGCUGGGGGUGAAAGGCCAAUCAAACCGGGAGAUAGCUGGUUCUCCCCGAAAGCUAUUUAGGUAGCGCCUCGUGAAUUCAUCUCCGGGGGUAGAGCACUGUUUCGGCUAGGGGGCCAUCCCGGCUUACCAACCCGAUGCAAACUGCGAAUACCGGAGAAUGUUAUCACGGGAGACACACGGCGGGUGCUAACGUCCGUCGUGAAGAGGGAAACAACCCAGACCGCCAGCUAAGGUCCCAAAGUCAUGGUUAAGUGGGAAACGAUGUGGGAAGGCCCAGACAGCCAGGAUGUUGGCUUAGAAGCAGCCAUCAUUUAAAGAAAGCGUAAUAGCUCACUGGUCGAGUCGGCCUGCGCGGAAGAUGUAACGGGGCUAAACCAUGCACCGAAGCUGCGGCAGCGACGCUUAUGCGUUGUUGGGUAGGGGAGCGUUCUGUAAGCCUGUGAAGGUGUGUCGUGAGGCAUGCUGGAGGUAUCAGAAGUGCGAAUGCUGACAUAAGUAACGAUAAAGCGGGUGAAAAGCCCGCUCGCCGGAAGACCAAGGGUUCCUGUCCAACGUUAAUCGGGGCAGGGUGAGUCGACCCCUAAGGCGAGGCCGAAAGGCGUAGUCGAUGGGAAACGGGUUAAUAUUCCCGUACUUGGUGUUACUGCGAAGGGGGGACGGAGAAGGCUAUGUUGGCCGGGCGACGGUU